RNAcentral lists this ribosomal RNA (402 nucleotides) under uncultured bacterium. Its description in RNAcentral is "bacterial SSU rRNA". It matches the Rfam family "Bacterial small subunit ribosomal RNA", at positions 355 to 774 of the family's 1533-position model. The record is from RNAcentral.
UGGGGAAUAUUGGACAAUGGGCGAAAGCCUGAUCCAGCCAUGCCGCGUGAGUGAUGAAGGCCCUAGGGUUGUAAAGCUCUUUUGUGCGGGAAGAUAAUGACGGUACCGCAAGAAUAAGCCCCGGCUAACUUCGUGCCAGCAGCCGCGGUAAUACGAAGGGGGCUAGCGUUGCUCGGAAUCACUGGGCGUAAAGGGUGCGUAGGCGGGUUUCUAAGUCAGAGGGGAAAGCCUGGAGCUCAACUCCAGAACUGCCUUUGAUACUGGAAGUCUUGAGUUCGGGAGAGGUGAGUGGAACUGCGAGUGUAGAGGUGAAAUUCGUAGAUAUUCGCAAGAACACCAGUGGCGAAGGCGGCUCACUGGCCCGAUACUGACGCUGAGGCACGAAAGCGUGGGGAGCAAACA